UACGUAGGUGGCAAGCGUUGUCCGGAAUUAUUGGGCGUAAAGCGCGCGCAGGCGGUCCUUUAAGUCUGAUGUGAAAGCCCACGGCUCAACCGUGGAGGGUCAUUGGAAACUGGGGGACUUGAGUGCAGGAGAGAAGAGUGGAAUUCCACGUGUAGCGGUGAAAUGCGUAGAGAUGUGGAGGAACACCAGUGGCGAAGGCGGCACUCUGGGCCAGUAUUGACGCUGAGGAGCGAAAGCGUGGGGAGCGAACAGG
This 253-nucleotide ribosomal RNA is filed under the name uncultured bacterium. RNAcentral's name for it is "partial 16S ribosomal RNA". It matches the Rfam family "Bacterial small subunit ribosomal RNA", at positions 524 to 776 of the family's 1533-position model. The record is from RNAcentral.